RNAcentral lists this unclassified non-coding RNA (20 nucleotides) under Chlamydomonas reinhardtii. Its description in RNAcentral is "small RNA Cre_0644". The record is from RNAcentral. Lineage: Eukaryota; Viridiplantae; Chlorophyta; Chlorophyceae; Chlamydomonadales; Chlamydomonadaceae.
AGUGUGUUGCCCGCUGCGCC